Molecule: unclassified non-coding RNA, 551 nt
Filed under: Hevea brasiliensis (rubber tree)
Lineage: Eukaryota; Viridiplantae; Streptophyta; Magnoliopsida; Malpighiales; Euphorbiaceae
Source: RNAcentral
GAAAAUGGAAGGUAAGAGUUUAUCAAAUGAAGGCUACAGAGACCGAGGCUUGACAGACCAGAAAAAUAUAUAAAGAAAUAAACAUGCUAAAUAGUAUAGCUAAACCCUGAUAACAACCUAUGCCACUCAUCACCUUCUUUUUCAUCCCAUGUAUUUGUUUAUCUUUUGCAAGCAGAGCAACUUUUGAAUAUCCAAUUCACACAUAAUGUAGCAGAUUUUUCCUGUCAACAGGUAUGGUAAUUUUUGUUUUCCUCUAAGCUUUUUCUUAGUUCAUUGAUAUUCAUGUUUAUAUUCUAAUAAUUUUGGUUCAGAUGUCAUUUAACUCAGGUUGAGAAAUACUAAGAAAAGGUUGAAACUCUUGAGAGAGAAUAAGGACUGAAACUUUUUAAGUUCAUGUAAUUUUUCCUGAUCACACAACACAAUAAAGAAUAUCCUUCUUUAGAUAAGACACACAUGCAACUUAGACAUGUUCCUGUUUAUAGAAAAUAGAAACACAUUUAGAAUUACAAAUGAUGUCAAUAUGUCAGAAAAAGGCUAAGUUUCAAAUUAAA